AUACGGAGGGUGCAAGCGUUACUCGGAAUCACUGGGCGUAAAGCGCGCGCAGGCGGGCUGAUAAGUUGGAUGUGAAAGCCUACGGCUCAACCGUAGAACUGCAUCCAAAACUGUCAGUCUAGAGUGUGGGAGAGGAAGAUGGAAUUAGUUGUGUAGGGGUAAAAUCCGUAGAGAUAACUAGGAAUACCAAAAGCGAAGGCAAUCUUCUGGAAAACUACUGACGCUGAGGCGCGAAGGCGUGGGGAGCAAACAGGAUUAGAAACCCCAGUAGUCC
RNAcentral lists this ribosomal RNA (274 nucleotides) under uncultured bacterium. RNAcentral describes it as "partial 16S ribosomal RNA". It matches the Rfam family "Bacterial small subunit ribosomal RNA", at positions 523 to 796 of the family's 1533-position model. The record is from RNAcentral.